GAGGAAUCUUGGCGCAGGGCAGCCAGCUCUGAUGCCCAGGCGGCUUUGGUAUUUCACAUUGACAUAGUUUUGGGGUGAGACCAGGCUCUGGACUUUCAGUCAUACUGCGGGGUACCUGAGGCCAUGGUGGGCAGAGGGCACUGAACCCGCUGAGCUGAGGGUAGGAGCUCCUGGCUCAACCGCACCUGCCGGUCCUGCGUGGCCUGGAUACUCAGCUGAGAGAUGGGAAUAAGGGAAUUUGGGAAAAGAGAUGACGCAACGGGUGAAAAGGAGCCCCAGGACCCUGCCCCCAAGGCUGGCCGUCCAGGGAACCCUGGCCGACAACACCUGUCACCCAGGCAUGCUCAGCUUGGAAUCAGGUGAGAGUUCAGGUCUCUGCCAAUGGCUGGGCCCCCUCCCUGCAGGACCAUUUUCACUGGGGUCACCCACGGCCCCCCAGAGCCCCAUUUGGCAAGGACUGUCUUCAAAAACCGCUCUCUCGGGUAAACAGUGGCGUCUACUGGUUGUAGGUGCAACACAACUCCCGAGGAAUGAGUUCCUGGAAAAAUCCGGAGCAGAGAAGCUUUGGACAGUGUGUGUUUCUUUGUUGGUAAAUAAUCUCCACUAAGCGAGC
Molecule: long non-coding RNA, 613 nt
Filed under: Sus scrofa (pig)
Lineage: Eukaryota; Metazoa; Chordata; Mammalia; Artiodactyla; Suidae
Description: lncRNA (ENSSSCG00005002906.1)
Source: RNAcentral